This 484-nucleotide ribosomal RNA is filed under the name uncultured bacterium. RNAcentral describes it as "partial 16S ribosomal RNA". It matches the Rfam family "Bacterial small subunit ribosomal RNA", at positions 30 to 507 of the family's 1533-position model. The record is from RNAcentral.
AUUGAACGCUGGCGGCAGGCCUAACACAUGCAAGUCGAGCGGAUGAAGGGAGCUUGCUCCUUGAUUCAGCGGCGGACGGGUGAGUAAUGCCUAGGAAUCUUCCUGGUAGUGGUGGAUAACGUCCGGAAACGGGCGCUAAUACCGCAUACGUCCUGAGGGAGAAAGUGGGGGAUCUUCGGACCUCACGCUAUCAGAUGAGCCUAGGUCGGAUUAGCUAGUUGGUGGGGUAAAGGCCUACCAAGGCGACGAUCCGUAACGGGUCUGAGAGGAUGAUCAGUCACACUGGGACUGAGACACGGUCCAGAGUCCUACGGGAGGCAGAAGUGGGGAAGAUUGGACAAUGGGGGAAAGCCUGAUCCAGCCAUGCCGCGUGUAUGAAGAAGGUCUUCGGAUUGUAAAGCACUUUAAGUUGGGAGGAAGGGCAGUAAGUUAAUACCUUGCUGUUUUGACGUUACCAACAGAAUAAGCACCGGCUAACUUCGUG